GUCCACGCCGUAAACGAUGAGUGCUAAGUGUUAGAGGGUUUCCGCCCUUUAGUGCUGAAGUUAACGCAUUAAGCACUCCGCCUGGGGAGUACGGCCGCAAGGCUGAAACUCAAAGGAAUUGACGGGGCCCGCACAAGCGGUGGAGCAUGUGGUUUAAUUCGAAGCAACGCGAAGAACCUUACCAGGUCUUGACAUCCUCUGAAAAACCCUAGAGAUAGGGCUUCUCCUUCGGGAGCAGAGUGACAGGUGGUGCAUGGUUGUCGU
This 264-nucleotide ribosomal RNA is filed under the name uncultured bacterium. Its description in RNAcentral is "partial 16S ribosomal RNA". It matches the Rfam family "Bacterial small subunit ribosomal RNA", at positions 793 to 1055 of the family's 1533-position model. The record is from RNAcentral.